Molecule: ribosomal RNA, 462 nt
Filed under: uncultured bacterium
Lineage: Bacteria
Description: partial 16S ribosomal RNA
Rfam family: Bacterial small subunit ribosomal RNA
Source: RNAcentral
GACGAACGCUGGCGGCGUGCUUAACACAUGCAAGUCGAACGGUGAAGCCCUUCGGGGUGGAUCAGUGGCGAACGGGUGAGUAACACGUGAGCAACCUGCCCCUGGCUCUGGGACAACCACUGGAAACGGUGGCUAAUACCGGAUACGACCCGCCUCGGCAUCGAGUGUGGGUGGAAAGUUUUUCGGCUGGGGAUGGGCUCGCGGCCUAUCAGCUUGUUGGUGAGGUGAAGGCUCACCAAGGCGACGACGGGUAGCCGGCCUGAGAGGGCGACCGGCCACACUGGGACUGAGACACGGCCCAGACUCCUACGGGGGGCAGCAGUGGGGAAUAUUGCACAAUGGGCGAAAGCCUGAUGCAGCGACGCCGCGUGAGGGAUGACGGCCUUCGGGUUGUAAACCUCUUUCAGCUCCGAAGAAGCGAAAGUGACGGUAGGAGCAGAAGAAGCACCGGCUAACUACGUG